This 301-nucleotide ribosomal RNA is filed under the name uncultured bacterium. Its description in RNAcentral is "partial 16S ribosomal RNA". It matches the Rfam family "Bacterial small subunit ribosomal RNA", at positions 509 to 807 of the family's 1533-position model. The record is from RNAcentral.
CAGUAGCCACGGGAAUACGUAGGGUGCGAGCGUUAAUCGGAAUUACUGGGCGUAAAGCGUGCGCAGGCGGUUUUGUAAGACAGGCGUGAAAUCCCCGGGCUCAACCUGGGAAUGGCGCUUGUGACUGCAAAGCUAGAGUGCGGCAGAGGGGGAUGGAAUUCCGCGUGUAGCAGUGAAAUGCGUAGAUAUGCGGAGGAACACCGAUGGCGAAGGCAAUCCCCUGGGCCUGCACUGACGCUCAUGCACGAAAGCGUGGGGAGCGAACAGGAUUAGAUACCCCUGUAGUCCCUGUCUCUUAUAC